AGGACGAACGCUGGCGGCGUGCUUAACACAUGCAAGUCGAGCGGAAAGGCCCUUCGGGGUACUCGAGCGGCGAACGGGUGAGUAACACGUGAGCAACCUGCCCUUAGCUUCGGGAUAGCUCCGGGAAACCGGAAUUAAUACCGAAUAUGACUGCGGCUGACAUCAGCCACGGUGGAAAGUUUUUCGGCUAGGGAUGGGACUCGCGGCCUAUCAGCUAGUUGGUGAGGUAACGGCCCACAAGGCGACGACGGGUA
RNAcentral lists this ribosomal RNA (254 nucleotides) under uncultured bacterium. RNAcentral describes it as "partial small subunit ribosomal RNA". It matches the Rfam family "Bacterial small subunit ribosomal RNA", at positions 26 to 285 of the family's 1533-position model. The record is from RNAcentral.